GCACUGCUGAGGAGUCCCACAAUAGGACAAAACGACCGUCCAGUUC
Molecule: non-coding RNA, 46 nt
Filed under: Schistosoma mattheei
Lineage: Eukaryota; Metazoa; Platyhelminthes; Trematoda; Strigeidida; Schistosomatidae
Source: RNAcentral